GAUGAACGCUGGCGGCGUGCCUAAUACAUGCAAGUCGAGCGAACGGACGAGGAGCUUGCUCCUCCGACGUUAGCGGCGGACGGGUGAGUAACACGUGGAUAACCUACCUAUAAGACUGGGAUAACUUCGGGAAACCGGAGCUAAUACCGGAUAAUAUAUUGAACCGCAUGGUUCAAUAGUGAAAGACGGUUUUGCUGUCACUUAUAGAUGGAUCCGCGCCGCAUUAGCUAGUUGGUAAGGUAACGGCUUACCAAGGCGACGAUGCGUAGCCGACCGGAGAGGGUGAUCGGCCACACUGGAACUGAGACACGGUCCAGACUCCUACGGGAGGCAGCAGUAGGGAAUCUUCCGCAAUGGGCGAAAGCCUGACGGAGCAACGCCGCGUGAGUGAUGAAGGUCUUCGGAUCGUAAAACUCUGUUAUUAGGGAAGAACAAAUGUGUAAGUAACUAUGCACGUCUUGACGGUACCUAAUCAGAAAGCCACGGCUAACUACGUG
This 497-nucleotide ribosomal RNA is filed under the name uncultured bacterium. RNAcentral describes it as "partial 16S ribosomal RNA". It matches the Rfam family "Bacterial small subunit ribosomal RNA", at positions 28 to 507 of the family's 1533-position model. The record is from RNAcentral.